Non-coding RNA from Rattus norvegicus (Norway rat), 15730 nucleotides. NCBI's taxonomy places the organism in Eukaryota, Metazoa, Chordata, Mammalia, Rodentia, Muridae. The record is from RefSeq and is a predicted model, not a curated record.
GCCUGCAAUCCCAUGAGAAGACAAAGUUACAAACAAUUGGAUGGGGUUCUGCAGUCACCGAGUGUGAGAGCUCGCAAUAGAGGCUGAUAGAGGCUGAUAGAGAAGCCGAUGUGCUCCAAGGCCUGGGGUUCAUCCUGGAAGUAGUCAAAGCCCAAGAAAGAGUUCCCAUUACACAGAUAACAGCAAAAGGGAUCAGGCAACACAGCUGCUUCCCAUGCAAAACGAGCUGCACUGCUUAGGUUUUACACCUCAGGGGUUCAUCUUUGCAUAACAUAAAUCCACAUACAGGUAGAGAGGAAUAAAAUGUUUUACCACAAAUAAUAAUUUGGAAAUAUUUUCACAAACUUCAGAUUAAACUUUCAUCACCACCCACACAUUCUCUGGAUUUGCAUAACCUCAGGUAUGUCUAACAAUAUCCUCACUGUUCCCGAAGGACAGAACAAACCCCCAGGACUGCGCAUUAACAUGUUAUAAUGUUGCUGACAUAAUUCAUGCUGCUCAACUGAGAACAUCAACCUCAGAGCUUAGUGUCCCUCGACCUAUUCUACUUUUCACUCAUGACUCAUAGCAGCCUGGUCGUCCAGGGUGGCCUUACACUUAACUCUCCUGCUUUCCCAAUCAUGCUGGGAUUACAGGAAAGCAGCACAAUGCACACCUCCCCCUUCCUAAGUGGCGCUGGGGACGGAACCCAGAGCCCUAGGGAUGGCAGGCGAUACUCUACUCCUGAACACUUCACCGCAUCUCCAGCACUCCUCACGCUUACUUUUGGUAAGAAAACAAGUUGCCAUUGGAAUUGCAAAGCUGCAAGGUAGACUCCUGCAAGUAAACGGUGCAUCGGCUCUCAACUAAAGCAGGCUCUUGCUACCUAAACCUUGACUGCUUCUCCUGUCUACCAACGUGCACAGCCACCUUACCCAGUCACUUCCCUAUCAUGGGAAAGAAACCUCAGCAUUAGGUAAUGAACUACAGAGCCCAAAGAAGGGAUGGGACAACACAAGAGCAUGGCAGCUUUCCUUACAAACAGUGAAGUUACAAAGUGAGCUUAAGAACAGCACCUAGCAGCUCUAUGGCCGUUUGCUGUACUCAAGUCAGUAUUCCAGAGGAACCUCAGGAAUCGGAUGAGGAGAGACAGAGGUGGCUAACCUGGACCCUGGAAUACAGCACUUUAUCAGAACGACUCUCCUUUCUGGCUUGUGUUAAGACAACAAGGCUGACCCUCUAGCCCAGAAGCGCUGAAGCGCUCCAGUGCAAUGAUAAGUGAAGAAACGAGACACUGAAGAAAGAGAAGGCACUGUGGCGAGCAUCCUGUGGCUGUGACAGACAGACACCUUUCAGUGGUGUGCUCACUUGUGUGGUGAACACUUUGUUCAGCGUCCCUCAGUGACUCUCUUCUUUUCUCCUCACUGCUUCUAACACAGCAGUUUUCCGUGUCUCUAUUUUGGUAAUCUCUCAGACUUUCAACAAUUUAUACUUCAAAAUCCUGUAUAAAAUUUAUAUGGCUUUGCCCAUGUACCACAUAUAAGAAACCAUAGAGAUGGAACAGGGUUACUCACCAUGAAAAAGCCCUUUUUCUUUUCCCAGAGGUAGCUCUCAACAAAACUGACUAACCUUGCAUCUAGUUGGGACUUCAUCCUUCUUUUAUGAAAGAACUAACGUUCUUCUCUCCAGUCUUAUUUACAAGAACCCAGGAAAGGAAAGAAGAGAGAGAAAGAAACCUCAGCAUUAGGUAAUAGAGCCCGAAGAAGGGAUGGGACAACACAAGAGCAUGGCAGCUUUCCUUACAAACAGUGAAGUUACGAAGUGAGCUUAAGAACAGCACGUUUCUCCCACUUUGUAAUCCAAAUCAAAAUGUUUUACUUAGAUUCAGAAAUCAGGAGGAGCAAAUAGUGAUGGCCGCAAGAGUUACAUUUGGGGUAGAAGUAAGGAGCUCCCCUUGAGGAAAUACCCAGCAUGCUCUCUUGUUUCUCCUGACUGAGAUUCCUUUUCAGAUGUAGAUAGCAAGAAAAAUGGCAAAAUAUCUCUAAAGUGUAUUGGGAAACAGCAUAAUUAAACAGUAUACAUUAUUGUCAUAUUUUUAGAUCCUAGUUUUCUCAAGUCAACUACAAAAAGUAUCAUUACAAUAGGACGGAAAGGGAGGGGACAAACAAGUCUACAUCUGGAACUUACUGUGAAGGAAACAAAGAUAUUUUUUAGUUUAAGUAUUCAAGAUACCCAGAGCAGGAGCUCUGUGACUUCCUGACACCCUGACUUGUGGGCACCACUCACCCACACCAGGCACACACAGCUCUCGGAAGGCGCUGCCUUCGCCAUCCUGCCUGAAUUCUCCAGAGCUCAGUCACUUCUCCCACUUUGUAAUCCAAAUCAAAACGUUUUAUGUACAAAUUGACUUCACUAAAGCUGCACAAAAGACACCAAGGGCCACUCAAUACGGCAGAGUAAUCACAUCGGGAAGACAGCACACAACUGGACUUUAAAGGACAACUCCUCCUUGGCAUCCCUACAGAGAAGUCAAAUCCACGGCUCCAUUGAUCCACACAGAAUAACUUUCCAACAGGGCAGUUCACUGGGGAGGACAACGUGCAACUGCUGGAACCACAAGUGUUCCUGUGGGACAAGGUUGUGUUCCCUUCCACUCUGGUGACAGCUCUGAGAUGCGAGUCUGCUGCUUGGAAACUUCAACACAGUCCCACAGGGGUGUUAACAUGAUACACCAAGAUAACAGAAACCAGCAGUACACACAGGCACCCUGAUUACAAGAAAGCAUGUCCUAUCUGGAAGAAACACGCAGAAUCAGAAAACAGAUAAACUAGUUCCUACUGAGAAAUCGUGCAAAGACUGCUCAGGAGAAAAGAAGUAACCCUGACAGUGCUCAAAAAGGCAUUUACAAAUGCCAGAGAGGCAGAAAGGAAGAUGCAGGCGAGCUCAGGAAGCCAAGAGUGUCCAGUUUUGGAAUGGCUGUUGAACUCAAAUGAAGGAAGAACAAGACACAGCCCAUGAGCCCAUUAGGAUCUAAUGAAGCAGUGCAGAGUGGCACAAACACCGGGACGCUAGGAAACUGCCAAAAAGAACAGCACUUGAAGUGACCCAACUCAGCGGUAAGGACAGGUGCUGGUUAUCUGGAACAACCAGUUACACUAAACAUACCUAAAACAACUCCCCUGCCCAAAGGAAAAGAUAUCUCUGCCCCAGUCACAACCCAGGCUCACAAACCCAAGGAGGCAAAAUGCAAAGCCUCGGAUGAUCAGUUUGGACUCCAGUGUUAAUCUCAAGACUGCUAUGCUGGUCUGAAACUAAAGUUUGGUUUUGUUUCCUUAAAUAUUAAAACAAUUGUCAGCCCACCACCCUCAACCCUUGCUAAGAGACCAAAUUUGGAAUCUAAACAUACUGGUCCACUGUUUGCACACGCCUCAGUUUUCUUACACAGGUGCUUACAAAUUUACACGAAACAGUCUUCCUUUAAACAAUUCUUUCUUCCUAUAAACAGAACCAUACCUUGGGUUUGUUAAAAUUAGCAUUUAGAAAAGCUAUGAUACAAUAAUAAAAUUUCAGAGUUCAGUCAGUGAGGUAAAAUUUACAGUGGCAGUUUUAAAAUCAUUAUUUCUAGAUGUAUUUCCUUCAACUCUGUUUGCUUCUAAAACUUUGGUCACCUUCACAGGAAGACAGCGAGAUCUCAAUGGUUAGCUCACUUGAAAAGUGACUGAUGAAUCACCCAAGUGAGAUGUGUGCCUUUGAGUCAACUCACAAUGACACCAGAACAGAACAUGGCUUUAAAACCUCAUUUUCUAGGUUCAUAAGACCAGUGUUUUACAAAUUAAGAACAGUAUCCUAACAUACAUUUAGUAUGGCUCUCACUGCAAGCAAGGCCCCAUUUUCUUUGGCUGCCAAUCCCUUAGAGGAAUGUAGAUACAAAAAGCUGUUGCUUAAAGAAACAGGAAGCUGAAGCUGGUGAGAAAUAUACCAAAAAUAGAACAGGGAAACCUAGGCUACCCUCAGCAUUCAGAUGAAUAUAGCUUUCUACAAAGAAAUCAAAAUUCUAUAGGAUUGAUUAGCUUUCACAAAUUCACACAAUAUGGCCUUCCUUGUCUCAGUUUCACAAGGAGUUAACUAAGGAAAUAGAACAUCAACACAGCAAAGUGGAGCGGGGAAGUGUCUACUUCACACUGCUGGCUCCUGAGAGUCAGGCCGGAGAAGACAGCCCGCUGACACCCGCCUGCUGGGUGCCACAGAGGAAGCAGGACUAGUCAGUCCUGUUAAGGUAUGAAAGAAUACACAGUCGUGCUGAAGAGAUGAGAAAGAGAAAGAAGAACACACUUCAAACCAAACACCAUUUAAUUUUCUCAUGCACUGUUCUCUAACCUUUACUGCCAAAGGUGUGGAUAGAUUUAACAUCACUUUCUUGUGAAAGCACCAGAGAAACAUUCAGGCUUGCAUGGUGAAUCACAUACCAGGCAAAGAGUGGAUGAAGGCCCAGACGUCAUCGACCGUCCAUAUGGAGGGCUCCGUCUGUGCGACUGGGAGCAAGUCGCUGUUCUCAGGCAUUUUCCUAAUCCUCACGUCGCGAAGUUCGCGUUCUCUUUCCCGCUCACUCUGCCUGCGCAGGCGAGUCGUCAUAGCAGACGGCACAGGAUCGUCACGAGAGGCCAAGUCUUCUUCUGCAGAUGGAUAAGUAAUUGGAAGCUGGAAAAUGCAGUACAAGUAAAAUACAGCAUUGCACUUCCCUUGCAUUUCUGAAAUGGACAUUGUACAUUGAAGCAAGCUUUCUACAGACCUGCCUAAGGAUAUGUUCUCUCGCUGCCCCUUCAGGGCCACUUGGACGACGGCCCCGAUGCCCAAGACUUUGAUUAUCAGGCUUACGAUUCCAACGACUAAGUGCAAACUUUUUAGAACAGCUAACGUUGUACCUAAGAAAUUCAAGAAAGAAAAAUUAAGCAAUAUAUGGGACCGCCUAUACAUAGUAUUUACUGUAACGUUAAAGUACAACUGUGACACAGUCAGUACCAGACACUUAGUAUCUAGUGUAGCACCUCACACAGUACCAUCUUAUUUAAAGUACAACUGUGACACAGUCAGUACCAGACACUUAGUAUCUAGUGUAGCACCUCACACAGUACCAUCUUAUUUAAAGUACAACUGUAACACAGUCAGUACUAGACACUUAGUAUCUAGUGUAGCACCUCACACAGUACCAUCUUAUUUAAAGUACAACUGUGACACAGUCAGUACCAGACACUUAGUAUCUAGUGUAGCACCUCACACAGUACUCUGUCUUACUGAAUGAACUUAUCUGUGCUUUAGGUAAAAAAAUGGCCUCUGUGUACAUCAUAGAGUAUUCCUCAACAUAACACUAGACACCUAUAAGAAGGUAAUGAAAUUUUCUCCUGAUUAUACAGGAAUGAGUAACCUGUAAAAUGCAGAAGAUAAUUUGCAAAGCAGCAAGAAAGUUCAUCAUUCCAGAAGAGAUACUUUAGAGUUUUGCUUUGUCUUGUUCUUUUUAGUGUAUGUGGGAAGGAUGUGCAGAAGUGUAUUGCAGAUGUAAUAGGACAGAUGUCUGCAGAUGCAGAUACACAUGUAGAGACCAGGGUUUGGUUCUCAGCACACAAUGGAGGCUCACAACCAUCUGAACCUUCUGCCUUUCACAUCAGGCAUACACACAGUGCACAUAUAUUCUUGAAGGCAAAACACUCACACAUUAAUUUUAUUAUUGAUAACUAUUCUAGAAUAAUACAAGUGAUUUUGCUCACCUAUGUUUUAUGAACAUAUCAGAGAUUGAAAUAAAGAAUACUAUGAGAACUAAUAGACUAUUUCUCUUCUAAAAAUGCAAAUGUGCCCUCAGAGCUACUAAAAUAACUAACACUCCUGCUGUGUACACUAUGGGCUUAUCUGUGGAUUCAGCAAUGUUGUGAUUUCUAAUUAGUACAUCAGGUGACCAAACUUAACUACUGAGGAGAGAACUAGUUUUACGCAUGGUUAAUCCUUGCAUAGUUAAAUAGUUAGCUCUCUGAGACUGACAGCUAAGUAGCCAUGUAAACAGCAGCAGUAACUCACUGGUCUGACAUAGCCUCUUUCUGUUCUCUCAGCCAUGCUUCUAAGGAGGAUCAUCUCAAGUAUACUAUGUGCCUGAUCAGACAUCAUCUCUGGGAGAAGGGUAAUGAUAGGUAGUAUUAAAUGUCCUAGUAUAUGUGUAAAUAGUCAAGAGGUUUAGAAUAUCCUCAAAGACAAACUAUUUCCCAAACUUCUAAAUAUUUUUAAUCAGCGCUAGAAAACUACCAUUCUUUCGUGUGUUUUAUGCAAACUGAAAAUUCAAGUUAAAACAUAAAUCCAACAUAAUCCAAUUAUAGACCUGCCACUAUUCAUGAAUAAACAUUUGAGUAAUGGACUGAAACAGUGAGCUCACUUUUGAAAAAACUUACUUCUACUUAAGAAAGGUAAAUUCAACUAACUGUACUUCUGCAGCAACUAUACAAAAUGAUAUGUUCAAUCAAGAAAUUCACUGGCUUCUUAAGAGAAAAUAAUUUUCAAAAUAAUCACCCUAAAUACACUUGGGUCUUCCAAGGGCAUCAGGUAUCCUAACUGCUAGGCUAUCUCCAGCCCCAUAUUUAAUCCUUAUAGACUAGUAUUCACCUAGGCAUGCUGGUACCUGGCUUCACCUGGUACUCCAGCACCUGGGAGGCAGAAACAGAAGGAUCAGAGAAUGCCAGAGGCCAGCCUGGUCCACAUAAACCUAGGCCAGGCAGGGCUAUACAGCAAGAUCCCAAAUAGAAAUAAUUUUAAAAUUAAUUACUAAUUAGUAAUUAGUAAGAUUCUAUAACAUACUAGUCAUGCUACAGGACAGAUUCUCCACACCACAUCCUUGCACAGAUGACCACUGCUUCACUACAGGGUAUUCUAAAACUGCAUUGUUAUACGUACUUAUCACACAGCAAAUUCUAGUAAUGACACAGCAGUGGACUGCUGCAGAUGACACCUAACCUUCCCUGUGUCACCAGACCUCACUCUUACCUAUGCUCAACUGUAACCUGUCUUGACAGAAGCAGAAAUUACUGGUUCUCCCUAAGCAAAUCCAAGCACACCAACAUACCUUUUGGCACAUGACAUAGUACAGAAUCGUUUUGAUCGUAAAAAUUCAUUAGGAUAUCCCAUUUUUCCACAGAAUUCACACUUGAGUAACUCACUAUCCAUUUCUUCCAAUGUCUCUAAAAAAGGAGGGAAAAAGCCAAACAUUUGGUGUGUCAAAAUUUCCUGCAGCCUCUAAUUCUAGAUAUGUAACACAGAUCAAUAUUUUUUCACCUUUUUUGAAUCCAGAGCUACUUGGCUAGGCUAUUACUAAUUCCUUGUUUCUACAUAAACAUUUUGGUUUUUUCUAUAUAGUAAGUAUACUUAUACACAUAAGUAAAAAUUAGUUUUGCUAAGAGCCCAGCAUGUCUAAAAUGUACAUACAACAGGUUGUGAUUUAUAAUCACAGAGAAAUGAAGGUAAGUGCGGUAUACCCACUGCCCACUAGAAGGGGCAUUGCAGACAGCAGAACACAGGAUAUGAGUGUGGCUCUCUAAAGCGUGGAAACCCUCUAAAUCCCAAUGGAGAGGAGAAUGGCUUCAAAGUGGAGAAACAUGUUUAUUUUAGUGGGACACAUAAAACAUUUAACUAAGGGACCUGCAAUGUAUAACCAAUAUCAUAAAGAUAUGUAUAACUAAUUUAUAAAAGUUCCUUUUAAUAUUAAAUGAAAUUAGUUCUGCUUUUAAAUCUCAAACAGACUCAUAAAGUACAACUACUGGUGUCUUUUCUACAGUGUUCCCUGCUAAGUAAGAUCUAACCCCAAUCCAAACCCUCUCCUUCACUCUUUAUCUCCUGCUUCAGGAACACCACCUAGAGCAAGCAGUUCCCUCUGCGUGAUCGUCCCCAAAGCACUGAAGUAAGUGGAGAAAUAGCUGGCUCGGUAGGGCUCCACGUGCAUCACCUUUACUGAUGACAUCAAUCACAGGGCAGGAAGUGACCUUGCUGGUUUGUAUUUUGUAUGUAGUGUAGGGAAUCAGACUUAGGGCUUUUCACAUCCUAGGCAAAUGGUCUACAUCUUCAGCCCAGGAGUGGCCAUUUAAGGAGACUCUCUACCUUGGUAUGUUUGCAAGUAAGUAUGUAAGCAGGUAUGUAUGUAAGCAGGUAUGUAUGUAAGCAGGUAUGUAUGUAGACUCAACUACCUCGGUAUAUAUGCAAGGACCAUUGAUCUAGUUACAAUGUGGAUACAACUGUAAGAAGUAAAAUAAAAACUGUCCCUGUCCCUGUCUCUGUCACAGGGUCCCAGUCAUGCAGCUACUGUCUGCAGAUAGUUUCUGGAGAAGGAGAGUCAUGUUUUCCUCAGGUUUGUGACCCCUGGUAGUUUGCACGUGUUCCAGUUGACCCCAAACCCAUGUGCAUACUGGUAGCACUAACUGAACUCAGUGGAGGCGGGGCACAAAGUUGGGGGAAGGAAAUGAUGGAGAAAUUAUCUGGGAAAAGCUGAAGGGAACACACAGAGUGCAUUUAAUCAAAACUCAUAAUAUACAUGUAUGAUAUUUUCAAAGAACAAAGUUAAAUGUAGUUUUUAUAAAAAUUGGAAAAUUUUGCCCCUUCCAAAAACCAAAAGAUGGCUUCAACAAAGUUGCUUGUCAUUCCUAAUUUUCACAUCUGCCCUUGGAAUUUGCUGUUCAUGCCCAGGAGUUAUCACUUACACCUGAACUGAUCUGGAAAGCCUGGACCAGAGACAGAACUCACUCAACUGCUACCAUUGAUGGAAUGACCAAGAGACCAUUCUGCAAGUUGCUCAAAGAAACUUCCCAGAGUCAUUUGAGAAGAAGGAAUUCAAAUGAGGAACUGCCUCCAUCAGAUUGGCCCUUGUGCAUGUCUGUAGGACAUUUUUUUUCGUUUAACAUUGCAUUUUCUGUAGGACAUUUUUAAAUUAAAGAUUGAUAUGGGAGGGCCCAGCUCACUAUGGGCAGUGCCACACUGCUCCUGGGUUUUAUAUAAGAAAGCAAGCUGGGCAAGCUAUGCAGACGGAGUAAGCAGUGUUCAUUCAUGGCCUCUGCUUCAGUGCCUGCCUCAGAACUUCCUGUGAUAAAGGGCCGAUAACAUCUGUAAGGCAACUAAACCAGCCAAGCUGGUUUUGGUCAGUGUUUUAUCACAGUAACAGAAAAGCAAAGGACAACAAUCCUUUACAAAGAGAUUUAUAUGUAACAUGAAUUUUAAUAGUUUGCCUACCCAAAGCUACUAAGUAGCUUACCAUUUUACUCUGCAUUAUACUGUAUGAACAAUGGUGUAUGCUGUAAUAAAAAUGCUGAAAUUAUAAAAUGGCCUUAGAAAGUCAAAACUAUCAAGUACUUAAAAUGUUAGCAUUUUCUGUAAUAUUUCUUCUGCUAUGAAAUAUACUAACCAUCUUUAUCUUCCUGCCCCUCCUGUGGCAUCCCGUCCUGCUGAACUGUUCACUGUUCUGAUCUCUCCUUCCUCAUCACACUCUGACUACAGAUGUCAACUAUAUGACAAACCUCUAAAUACAUCCCACAGAGAGAUGACCAGCAAAAUUCCAAAGCCCUUUCAGUUUCUGACAAUUGCCAAAAGCCUUCUGUAAAGUUCCCUCAAGUCACAGAUCUUCCUUCCAGGUGCUGCAGGCGCCGAGCCCAGCGGUCUCCCAUGGUUCCUCACUCACACCCCUACACUCCUCAGCACUCAGACACAUCCUUGCACACUUUCCUGUCCUAAUCAGAACUGGUUUCCUGUUACCUUAAGUCUAUGCCUGCCUCAUUGUUUCUUUUAUAAAAUGUAGUUCCAACCUCAGCAAUGUAAGAAAUGCACCAGGCUGUAACUUCAGCCAGCCCCGUGUCCUUACUGUCGGGACAUUCACUGAAAAGCUAACGCUUGCUGCUCUGUAACCCCAGCUUCCAAGUAUAUGUUAUACACUGUCCACUGUAAACCACGACUAUCAUGAAACAUGCUAAAAACUUCCCAGACUUCCAUUCCUCUGGUGUGUUCGCCAGAGGUAUGAUAAACAUGUUUUAGCAUAGAACCUUCAUUUACAUAGGUUUUACAAAUAAGAGGAAGAAAAAGGAAUACCUAAACAUUCUUCUUUAUUGAUUUUCAUCUCAGAUAAGUAUCCUCACAUAUAAUCACAUGUACAACUAAAAACAUGUAUCUGAGAAUUACAUGAAAUUUAAGUCUAACAAUGAAAACCACCAUAGUGACAGCUGCCUAAUCGAGUACUCAGGAUUCAGGUGACUUCACCAGAACUUUCUCCCCAUUUAAUUUGUAAAAUAUAGGUGAGAGCAGGUACAGGAUAGGAGGCCUAUCAUUGGCCGAGAAGGAAGGAUGGGCGGGAGUAAAGUUUGAAGAAGAGGAAGAGACUAAAAUGGAAGGAGGGAGAGGAGGGACAGAGAGAGAAGCUGUAGCAGGACAAUGUAGAAGCUGACGUUAGGAUUCCACGCUGUACUCUUACAGGUUGUUAUGAACGUUCUUAAGGGAUGGAUGUGUACAGGGCUUUGUAUGUUUAGGUGGGCAAUUAUAUCUUAUCAGCUAGAUCAAAGGUUAUUGUGUUGUGUGUUCUUUCCUGUGGCGAUUUAAGUUUAAGAGAGUGUGCGGCAGCUAGUCUGGGCCGCCACGGAAUUGGGAUGUGUGUUUCUGGCAUGGAAACCAGCCUUGGGAACUAGCUGGGUAGAGAGAUUGCUGCCAGGCUCAGAGAGAGGCCUUCAGCAGUGUGAUAUGGGAUGGAGCAAAGCGGGUGAGAGGCUUUGCUGACUGACUUUGCUUUGAGGCACUGCGGUGUGGACCUAGAGAGGGUAAAAACACUGUUUUAUUUUUUAUAUUUUUACAACAACACAUAGUGACCUAGUUUGGAUCUUGAUUUUAAUCAAAUAACUGUGAAAGAGCAUGCCUCUAGUAACUGAGGAAAUAUGAAUAUGGAUCAGGUACUAUACCAAAGAAUUUAUUUUGCUAUUUAAUUUUGUUAGAAAAUACCUGCUUUUACGAUGUCCCACUGUCUUGGUGAAAUAAAAUGGCUAGAAUUCAGAGAGGACAGAGGAGGAGGAUAAGAAGACAGUCAGAGGACAGAGGAGAAGGAUGAAAAGACAGAAGACAGAGGAGGAGGAUGAGAAGACAGUCUAUAAAAGGGAGGGUGAGAGGGAGGAAAGCAAAGGAUGCAUGAGGUGAGUGUGGCCCUGCUCAGUUGCUUGAAAUAAUAACCAAAAGUUAGUAAAAAUCAAAUGUUACAGUAUUGCAGGUUUGGCUGUUCGAAUAAGAGUAAAAGUGAUGAAUACUCCGUAAAAGUUUAUCAAAUACCAACUAUGCAGGUGCCACCCUUUAGGAGUCAAAGGGAAUUUGGCUAUGUGCUUACCAAUUUGCCAUUUUGCUAAACUUAACAAUGUAUAUAGAGAGACACACAAUAUAGUAACACAAACUCAAUAAAUAUUUGUAAAAGAAUAAAUUAACUUAGAUAUACUAAGGAUAAUUAUGAAGAGAAAUGUGUUAAUGAGUUUACUGUUGUAGGCAGCAGCAACUGCAGGCCAUGAUCGAAGUGACCAAGAACAAUCUCAUGAAGAUCCUCCUACAUGAGACAGCUAGUUUGUUUUGUUGGCUAAUUUUUAAACCACAUUCAGAGCCUCAUUAAAAACAAGAAACAAUACAAAAAUUUUCUGAUUUUAUUUACUUUACAUAUUUGAGUAGUACACUGUAGCUGUCUUCAGACACACCAGCAGAGAGUGUCAGGUCCCAUUACAGAUGGUUGUGAGCCAGUAUGUGGAAUUGAACCCAGGACCUCUGGGAGAGUGGUCAGUGCUCUUAACCACGGAGCCAUCUCUCCAAUUUUUUGAUUUUAAAUAGAAAACUCAAACCAGAGAACAUCAUUUUUCUAUGUACCUGUAUUUGCUUUCCUUCAGCCAUUUUAUCACUUCAACUUAAAUGGGAUAUUCAGUAUUAGAAUAUAGUCAGUUGAGGUCUUUGACAGUAAAGAGAUUAACAGUAACAGUACUUUUCUCUUAAAACAGAUAUUAUCAUCUAUUAACUGAAGAGAACUCCUUAAUGUAACUGGAAUAUUUAGCUGGUUACAAUAAAGACAACACUGUUGCAGGAUUUGAUCACAUUGUAAACCCUGAGAUUGUGAACUGGAAAAACCUGUUUCUUGUUGUGGUGUGGCUCAGACCUUUAAUCCAAGAACUUCCUGUAAACAAGAAGUAAAUAAACUUCCUGUAAAUAAAGUCAAGAGGUAAAGCAAGCAACCAGUUGAUAAGAGAAUGAACAUAAGAAAGCUCAGGAAAGAGAAAAAACGGGUCUUUGAGUUGAAGGGCAUUUAAAACAGCAUGGAGGAGGGGGAUGAACAAGAGGAGGAGGAGGGUGACAGAGAGGAGGAGUUGUUUCCUUCUGAGACAUUAGUGGAGAAGAAAGGUCAGGUGGGUGCUUUCUCUGCCUCUCUCAGCUAGUGGUCUAUCACCGCGGCAUUUGGCUCCUGAGACUUCAUUUAGUAAACCAAACAUUUGGGAUCUUGUUUUAAAAACAACAUUUUGGCAUUCAAUGUGUAGCUUGAACCCAUCACCCUGAGAUUAAAAGUCUAUGCUCUACACAACCCACACAUGCUUGUUUUGAAGAAAAACCCAAAACCUCUAUCUCAUAUCAGACAUCAAAAUAAGGGCAAGUUUAAAACCAAAUUAUAGAGAUGUCCUAUAUUUUUAAGCAAAAUCAAUAAAAUAUUCAUGUUACUUAGGUCUGCUUUUUAAUUGGUUCUCCUGACUCAAAAAAUGUUAAAAUACUUUCUCUCGUGUAUGAUAGAACUUGCCUUGCCUAGAAAUCAAAUCAAGACCAAUGCUGUUAGGGUUUUUUUUAUUGUUGUUGUUUAAUAUAAGACUGGUUUGCUUGUCCAUUACUCUAGUCAAAUACAUACAGUGAGUAUGUAAACAGAUCUGAAUUCUUUCCAAGUGAAAAUCUAUGGAGACUAAGAAGUCACACCCCAUUUAAGCAGUAAAAGCCGAGGUUGAAUAAAGGGUUUAUGAGAGCCACAGACCUUCAGCAAUCAUGUCCUCCAUCUCUGUGUCGGACGAGUUAUCUGCAUGCUUUGUGUUAUUCUGUAGCUCUGGCUGAACACACACCGAAUUUACCACCUGAUUAUCCAAAAGAGGCCUCUUUUUCACAGGUUGUUCUAUCAGCAAAGAUGAACGACUCACCUUUAAAUGGAAAAGAGAAUAAAAAAUGAUAUCUAAAAAUAAUUCCAAAAUAAAUAAAUUUAAUUUUAAAAUAACCCCUCUUGAGUGAAUGGUAUCAGUGAUUAUUUACUUACUCAGUGAUCAGAUCCAAUCAUUAAAGGGUCCAAUUAUCCCCUAAGUAACAGGUAGUCUACACAUAUACACUACUGCUAGCCAGUAGAACAUAUGCUGCAGGGAUCUGUCAAACAGAUUGUACUGUUGCUUUAGGUAUAGAGCUUUAAAAAGUCUUACAAUCUAAUGGCACUUUGAAUUUUAAUAGUAAAAGAGAAGUGAUCAGAUUGCCUUGUACCAAGGGAAAGCAAAGGUCCUAACUCUCAGUGUAUUUGGGAGUUGAAGGGGAAGCAGUUGCUGUUUGAAUUGAUAUCAUAGUUCUAGGGAUUGAAUCCAAGGUCUUGCACUGAGCUAUACCCUCAUCUGUUGCCUUGGAAUGUUUUUAAGAUCACAUCUCACUGUGUAGAUCCUCUUUCCUCAGCCUCUGUCUAAUGUUGGGUUUAUACUCCUAUGUGACAUCCAUGCCCAGACUAGUGUUUACUGAUACUAUUCAGGUCAGCAUCUACCCCUUUUUCCUAGUGCCUUGAACACACAGACUAGCUCUCUAAUUCAUAGCUGUAUCCACAGACAUUUUGUAAUCUGGUGGUGAAAAUCAGGGAACAGUCAUGAGUGUGUUCAUACUUGCAUAGGGGACACUUUACCUACAAGCUGAACCUUCUCCCCAGUUUACAUUGCCCCCAGAUUUUUUUUCCUAUAUUUUUCUUAUAUUAAUUUAUUUUGAGAGAUAAUCUUGCUAAGUUGUCCAGACUGGCCUUGAACUUGAAAUCCAACAUCAAAAACCAAAGUAACUAAGGUUACAGGCCUAUGCCAUCAGGCCCGACUUAAAACUUUAAAAUUACUAUUAUUCUGAUGAUGAUGAUGAUGAUGAUGAUGAUGAUGAUGAUAGUGGUGGGGGGCAGUGGAUGAUGCAUGCAUGUGAUAUGUGAAGGGGAAAGCAUGUACCACAGCACACAUGUGGACAGCAGGAACAACUUUACAGAAUUAAGCAUGCUGUUUCUACCUUUGUGAGUUCCAUAGACCCACCCUAGGUUGCAAAGUCAGCAUGGGAAUGGCCUUUACCUGCUGUGCCAUCUUGCUGGUGGCUUUUAGAAGUAGAGAAACACUAAAGAGACCAGACCAGAAAACAAAUUCCCUUUGGCACAUAAAAAAAGCAAAACACUAAAUGUACAGAACAACUAGAGAAUAUUAAAAGCCACAAGGGAAAAAGACCAAGUAACAUAAGAAGGCAGACAUAUUAGAAUAACACUUGACUUCCCAAUGGAGACUCUGAAAGUCAGAAGGCUCUGGGCAGAGAGGCUGCAGACUCUAUACAGAAAGCAAAGACUCCAACACGGCCUCCUAUACCCAGCAAAGCUUUCAAUCACAAUCGGUAGAGAAAUGACAACCCAUUAUAAAACCGAAUUUAAGCAAUGUCUAUCUACAAAUCCAGCCCUGCCAAAGGUGCUAGGAGAACUCCAAUCUAAAAUGGUUAAGCCACACCCAAGAAAAUACAAGGAAUAGUUUAUCCCAGACCAGCAAAUCAAAAGAGAAGAAACACACACACACACACACACACACACACACACACACACGAAUCAACAAACACUGUUCAUUAAUAUCUCUCAACAUCAAAGGUCUCAAAUUUCAUAAUACAAAGACACAGACAAAACAGAAUCAAAAACAGGCUCCACCCUUCCGCUGCUGCACCCAGGAAACACCCCUUCACUUCAGCAAUAGACAUCAAUCACCUAAGGGUAAACGAUGGAAAAUACAUUCCAACAAACAGACCUAGAAAGUAGCUGGUGUCGUAGGCAUUUUAAUAUCUUACAAAAUAGACUUCAAACCAAAACUAGUCAGAAGAAAUAGCAAAAGACACUAUAUAAACAAAAGAAAACUCUACAAGAGGACGUUGCAAUUCUUAACAUCUAUGCAUGAAAAAUGAGGGCAACUAAGUUUAUAAAAGAAAGCCUAUUACGGCUUAAAUCUAGUAUGGAUUGUCAAACACUGAAGUAGGAGACUCAAUACUGCAUUCCAAUGAGUGGACAGGCCAUCCAGACAAAAUCCAAAUGAGAGAAAUGCUGGAGCUAACCGACAUUAUAUACCUAAGGGACCUGACAGAUAUUUAUAGAACAUUCCAUCUAAACACAAAAAGACUAUACCUUCUUCUUAGCACUUUAGGGAGCUUUCUCUAAAACUAGAUUCAGUCAGACAUAAAGCAAGUCUCAACAGAUAUAAGAAAAUUAAAAAAAAAAACCUCCCUGCAUCCUAUCUGACCACCACAGGAUAAAAAUUGUCUACAUUAAAAAACAAACAGCAAACAUUUUUUUUAAAAAGGAGAAAUCUGAUAAUAGUAACUUAACAGCACAAAUGAAAGCUCUAGAAAAAAAAAAGAAGUCACAUCCAAAAGGAAUGAAUACAGAAAAAAAAAAUUAAACUCACAAGCAACCAAACAAAAAUACCAAAAAAAAAAAAAAAACCCUCAGUGAAACAAA